ACACGUCUACAUUAGAUACCCCCGUAGUCCCAGCCGUAAACUAUGCGCGUUAGGUGUAUCGGUGACCACGAGUUACCGAGGUGCCGAAGGGAAACCGUGAAACGUGCCGCCUGGGAAGUACGGUCGCAAGGCUGAAACUUAAAGGAAUUGGCGGGGAGCACCACAACAGGUGGAGCCUGCGGUUUAAUUGGACUCAACGCCGGGAAGCUCACCGGAUAAGACAGCGGAAUGAUUGCCGGGCUGAAGACUCUGCAUGACUAGCUG
This 264-nucleotide ribosomal RNA is filed under the name uncultured archaeon. RNAcentral's name for it is "partial 16S ribosomal RNA". It matches the Rfam family "Archaeal small subunit ribosomal RNA", at positions 717 to 982 of the family's 1478-position model. The record is from RNAcentral.